Molecule: ribosomal RNA, 618 nt
Filed under: uncultured bacterium
Lineage: Bacteria
Description: bacterial SSU rRNA
Rfam family: Bacterial small subunit ribosomal RNA
Source: RNAcentral
CCUACGGGAGGCAGCAGUGGGGAAUUUUGGACAAUGGGCGCAAGCCUGAUCCAGCAAUGCCGCGUGAGUGAAGAAGGCCUUCGGGUUGUAAAGCUCUUUUGUCAGGGAAGAAACGGUGGGGGCUAAUAUCUCCUACUAAUGACGGUACCUGAAGAAUAAGCACCGGCUAACUACGUGCCAGCAGCCGCGGUAAUACGUAGGGUGCAAGCGUUAAUCGGAAUUACUGGGCGUAAAGCGUGCGCAGGCGGUUUUGUAAGUCUGUCGUGAAAGCCCCGGGCUCAACCUGGGAAUUGCGAUGGAGACUGCAAGGCUUGAAUCUGGCAGAGGGGGGUAGAAUUCCACGUGUAGCAGUGAAAUGCGUAGAGAUGUGGAGGAACACCGAUGGCGAAGGCAGCCCCCUGGGUCAAGAUUGACGCUCAUGCACGAAAGCGUGGGGAGCAAACAGGAUUAGAUACCCUGGUAGUCCACGCCCUAAACGAUGUCUACUAGUUGUCGGGUUUUAAUUAACUUGGUAACGCAGCUAACGCGUGAAGUAGACCGCCUGGGGAAGUCGGUCGCAAGNUUAAAACUCAAAUGAAUUGACCGGNNGAGAGNGCGAGACGACGACGAGGGAGGAGG